AGUGAACGCUGGCGGUAGGCCUAACACAUGCAAGUCGAACGGCAGCACAGUAAGAGCUUGCUCUUACGGGUGGCGAGUGGCGGACGGGUGAGGAAUACAUCGGAAUCUACUUUUUCGUGGGGGAUAACGUAGGGAAACUUACGCUAAUACAGCAUACGAACUACGGGUGAAAGCAGGGGAUCUUCGGACCUUGCGCGAUUGAAUGAGCCGAUGUCGGAUUAGCUAGUUGGCGGGGUAAAGGCCAACCAAGGCGACGAUCCGUAGCUGGUCUGAGAGGAUGAUCAGCCACACUGGAACUGAGACACGGUCCAGACUCCUACGGGAGGCAGCAGUGGGGAAUAUUGGACAAUGGGCGCAAGCCUGAUCCAGCCAUACCGCGUGGGUGAAGAAGGCCUUCGGGUUGUAAAGCCCUUUUGUUGGGAAAGAAAAGCAGCAGGUUAAUACCCCGCUGUUCUGACGGUACCCAAAGAAUAAGCACCGGCUAACUUCGUG
This 492-nucleotide ribosomal RNA is filed under the name uncultured bacterium. Its description in RNAcentral is "partial 16S ribosomal RNA". It matches the Rfam family "Bacterial small subunit ribosomal RNA", at positions 29 to 507 of the family's 1533-position model. The record is from RNAcentral.